GAUGAACGCUGGCGGCGUGCUUAACACAUGCAAGUCGAACGGUGAAACAGGAGCUUGCUCUUGUGGAUCAGUGGCGAACGGGUGAGUAACACGUGAGCAACAUGCCCCUGACUCUGGGAUAAGCGCUGGAAACGGCGUCUAAUACUGGAUAUGUGAUGUGACCGCAUGGUCUGCAUCUGGAAAGAAUUUCGGUGGGGGAUGGGCUCGCGGCCUAUCAGCUUGUUGGUGGGGUAAUGGCUCACCAAGGCGUCGACGGGUAGCCGGCCUGGGAGGGUGACCGGCCACACUUGGACUGAGACACGGCCCAGACUCCUACGGGAGGCAGCAGUGGGGGAUAUUGCACAAUGGGCGGAAGCCUGAUGCAGCAACGCCGCGUGAGGGAUGACGGCCUUCGGGUUGUAAACCUCUUUUAGCAGGGAAGAAGCGAAAGUGACGGUACCUGCAGAAAAAGCACCGGCUAACUACGUGCCAGCAGCAGCCGCGG
Molecule: ribosomal RNA, 484 nt
Filed under: uncultured bacterium
Lineage: Bacteria
Description: partial 16S ribosomal RNA
Rfam family: Bacterial small subunit ribosomal RNA
Source: RNAcentral